UGAGCAGACUAUGCGGCAGCGUGAACGAAAUAGUUUAUGAGGAAAGUCCGGGCAUCACAGAGCAGGGUAGCUGCUAACGGCAGCCGAGGGCGACCUUAGGGCAAGUGCAACAGAAAUAAACUGCCUGAGAGAUCAGGUAAAGGUGGAAAGGCGAGGUAAGAGCUCACCGGGGUGCGGGAGACCGUACCGCCAUGUAAACCCUAUCCGAUGCAACGUCUAUUGGUGCUGUGCAUCUCAACGCCGGCUCGGCGGAUGUACAGUAAUGACGGCUUGAGCUUAUUGGCGACGAUAAGAGUAGAUAAAUUGCCGCACACGACAGAACCCGGCUUAUCGGUCUGGUCAUUAA
This 346-nucleotide RNase P RNA is filed under the name Ruminococcus sp. RNAcentral describes it as "RNase P RNA component class A". It matches the Rfam family "Bacterial RNase P class A". From Rfam's summary of the family: Ribonuclease P (RNase P) is a ubiquitous endoribonuclease, found in archaea, bacteria and eukarya as well as chloroplasts and mitochondria. Its best characterised activity is the generation of mature 5'-ends of tRNAs by cleaving the 5'-leader elements of precursor-tRNAs. Lineage: Bacteria; Bacillati; Bacillota; Clostridia; Eubacteriales; Oscillospiraceae. The record is from RNAcentral.